This is a long non-coding RNA of Clupea harengus (Atlantic herring), 863 nucleotides long. The record is from Ensembl. NCBI's taxonomy places the organism in Eukaryota, Metazoa, Chordata, Actinopteri, Clupeiformes, Clupeidae.
GUGUUGAGUUGGGGGUGGAGCCCGUCUGUGAGAGAGAUCACUUUGAUUGGCGGUUCAGCGAAACCAAGACAGUGUGUGUGUGCACAGUACAAAGCUUACAGCACCACAGCAAAACCUGGAAUACUUCAGGACAUGUGUGUGUGUGUGUCUGUGUGUGUGGCUGUGUGUGUGUGUGUGUCUCUGUGUGUGUGUGUGUGUGUGUGUGGCUGUAGGCUGUGUGUUCUUGUACCAGAUGAAGGUUGUGUUGCCUUCCAUAUUGCAGUAGGCGUUGCAGGUCAGUGUCACAUUGUGUCCCUGUAUGACUGUAUCAGGCGUCAUUAACAUCUGCAGAUCAGAAGAAGAAAAGUGUACCAAACAACACUGACUGUUUACACCUGGCCUUAAAAUGCAUUUUGGGUGAUCGCCUUGCAUCUAAUGGUGCUUGACCACAUACAGUACAGGUAUAAAGACCACAUGACAGUACAGGUAUAAAGACCACAUGGCAGUACAGGUGUAAAGACCACAUGACAGUACAGGUGUAAAGACCACAUGACAGUACAGGUGUAAAGAACACAUGACAGUACAGGUGUAAAGACGUCAUGACGACGGAUUGUGAUCUUUUAUUUUUGUUAUUUGUUGUUUUUUUGGACCCUCACAAACGAGAGAUGCAUACACAAGCCGUUAUGGAAACUAUACUAUUGUAAUCACACACACACACACACACACACACACACACACACACACACACACACACACACACACACACACACACACACACACACACACACUCACACACACACACACACACACACACACACACACACACACACACACACACACACACACACACACACACACACACACACACACACACACACAAACAG